UACGUAGGCAGCGAGCGUUGUUCGGAAUUACUGGGCGUAAAGAGUGUGUAGGCGGUGCUCUAAGUUCGGUGUGAAAUCUCCUGGCUCAACUGGGAGGGUGCGCCGGAAACUGGAGUGCUUGAGCGUGGGAGAGGAAAGCGGUAUUCCUGGUGUAGCGGUGAAAUGCGUAGAUAUCAGGAGGAACACCUGUGGUGUAGACGGCUUUCUGGACCUAGCUGACGCUGAGACACGAAAGCGUGGGUAGCAAACAGG
This 252-nucleotide ribosomal RNA is filed under the name uncultured bacterium. RNAcentral's name for it is "partial 16S ribosomal RNA". It matches the Rfam family "Bacterial small subunit ribosomal RNA", at positions 524 to 776 of the family's 1533-position model. The record is from RNAcentral.